GACGAGGUGGCCGAGCGUGUUGGACUGCUAAUCCAAUGUGCUCUGCACCCAUGUGCAACGUGCAUGUGGGUUCGAAUCCCAUUCUCGUCA
Molecule: transfer RNA, 90 nt
Filed under: Ooceraea biroi (clonal raider ant)
Lineage: Eukaryota; Metazoa; Arthropoda; Insecta; Hymenoptera; Formicidae
Rfam family: tRNA
About the family: Transfer RNA (tRNA) molecules are approximately 80 nucleotides in length. Their secondary structure includes four short double-helical elements and three loops (D, anti-codon, and T loops).
Source: Rfam by way of RNAcentral